CCUGACAUCCCAGAAUGGAGACAGGAUGUGGGGAGAGUCAUUAAGAAGACUCUGCUCCAACACCCUUGGUGGAUUCCAGCCCGAGACACAGCAGUUCAGCCAUGCUGAUACUCCUAUCAGUAGUAUUCCUUGGUUUAGCAGUGUUUGUCAUCUACAAAUUCAAGAGGUAUGUACAGCACUUUAUGAUGAUAUCUUUGAACACAUCGAAGCACAGGUCUAAUCACCUGCCAUCAUCAUUAACCUUUUCGCACGUACCAACAAACAGGUGUGAUCAUUCUACAGUGGUGCCUGCAGCGUACACUCAAACCAGUGUGAUUAGAACGCUUAUUUAGAACGUCCUGUUUCGAUUGACGCAAUAGUCAGCAUUUGAGCUGGCCACAAUUUGUUCACAGAAACAUUUUGCAGAAACACAAAAUUAUGUCCAAAAUGUGACCAGUUUAUUUUUGGAUGGAAUGUUCAGACAUUCACAGAAGUAGCUACAGCAUAAGACAAUCAUCCAAACAGGAAAAUGUAGGCUAAAUUUGUCCUAGCGCCUAACUGAGGAAAGAUUGAGUAACGCAAGCGGUCAUAUUUUUAUAACUCUCGGCUGACAGAAACUACAAUGUGACUUAAAUAAUAGUAAUUACUAUGUAUAGUUAAUCACAUCACUGGUGAGCUCACCAUUGAUCAAAAUAAUUGAGUAAAACACUUUCUAGGAAUCGAAAGUAAUCCGACGAUGGGUAGUUUGUGCGCUACCAUGUUUGUUUUUUUGCAUCAACCAAAGAAUAUAAGAGGAGACAAGAUGAGUUUUGUCUGUUUAUAGUAUGCAUGUUGAAGGGGAUGUGUUGUCUACAAAUGAGUGAACCCUCCCUCACGUCAUUAUAACAUAUUUGGUCUGACAGACGUUUAUGUGAAACCCAGAAUGCAUUGUAUGUCAACAACCAUGGCUCCACACAUAGCUGGC
RNAcentral lists this long non-coding RNA (943 nucleotides) under Salmo salar (Atlantic salmon). Its description in RNAcentral is "lncRNA (ENSSSAG00000112908.1)". The record is from RNAcentral. Lineage: Eukaryota; Metazoa; Chordata; Actinopteri; Salmoniformes; Salmonidae.